Sebastes umbrosus (honeycomb rockfish) is the source of this 635-nucleotide long non-coding RNA. RefSeq lists it as uncharacterized. The record is from RefSeq and is a predicted model, not a curated record. The transcript has 3 exons. Lineage: Eukaryota; Metazoa; Chordata; Actinopteri; Perciformes; Sebastidae.
CCGAAAGCCUCUUGGCUGUUGCAUCUCCUGCACCUGGCUACUGAAAAGCAGCUGUGGCCUGUGACUAAUGGGAGCCAGAAGACAUGCUGAGGAGGGUGGACAAGCUAAAACUGUUUAGUCUGCUCGGCUGUGGGAACUGCAGGGAAGUAAAUACUGUGUCUGCUGACAGCUAUCAGUCUGUUUGACCCCCUUUUCAGGAGGAGCGAGGAAACUGGAGACAGUGAAACUGAGUUUGGAAAUUGCGGAGGAGGAGAUGAAGAGGAACGAGGGAGAGGCAGGCUGAUGGAUGUAGAGGGAGAGAUGAAGCAAUAGGCAGACGCUCUGAAACAACUGCCUCCAUCUCCAAAGCCAAUCAGGGGAGCUUUGAGACGCCAGUCGGGAGGACUGACAAUGGAGGAUUCACGCUGGGACAAAAAAAAAAAGAAAAGCCUAAAGCAGAUGGAUGAUGUAAAAGACCACAGCGAGCAUACAGCCCGGUGGCCCCUAAAGUCAAUGUUGUGUCUUCUGAUCCGUUUCAACUCCUUCUUGGCAUAUUUUUAUUUUUUCAGCAUGCCCUUAAUCUCACACUUAAUAUUCAUGACUUUGAAGUUAAUACGUGUGAAAUAAAGGUCCCUUCAAUUCACUGGAAAGUAAAA